GUAGGAAACUUUUGCAAUGCGCGUAAGCGUGACAAAGCAAGCCAGAGUGAUUUUCUAUAAUUGAAAAUCUUUUGCGGGAUGCAAAAAGUCCCGCGAAUAAGGACUGGGCAAGACUGGUGCCAGCCGCCGCGGUAAUCCCAGCAGUCCAAGUCGCAGCCACAUUUGUUGGGUCUAAAACAUCCGUAGCUUGCCUUGUAAGUCUCUUGUGAAAUCGGGCCUCUUAAGGGUCCGGCGAGCAAGAGAUACUGCUUGGCUAGAGACCGGGAGACGUAAGGAGUACGUUCGGAGUAGCGGUAAAAUGCGUUGAUCCUGAAUGGACUAACAAUAGCGAAGGCACCUUACGAUAACGGUUCUGACAGUGAGGGAUGAAGGCUAGGGGCGCAAAGUGG
Molecule: ribosomal RNA, 389 nt
Filed under: uncultured euryarchaeote
Lineage: Archaea; Methanobacteriati; Methanobacteriota
Description: bacterial SSU rRNA
Rfam family: Archaeal small subunit ribosomal RNA
Source: RNAcentral